Molecule: ribosomal RNA, 465 nt
Filed under: Janthinobacterium sp. RB4
Lineage: Bacteria; Pseudomonadati; Pseudomonadota; Betaproteobacteria; Burkholderiales; Oxalobacteraceae
Description: bacterial SSU rRNA
Rfam family: Bacterial small subunit ribosomal RNA
Source: RNAcentral
AUUGAACGCUGGCGGCAUGCCUUACACAUGCAAGUCGAACGGCAGCACGGAGCUUGCUCUGGUGGCGAGUGGCGAACGGGUGAGUAAUAUAUCGGAACGUACCCUGGAGUGGGGGAUAACGUAGCGAAAGUUACGCUAAUACCGCAUACGAUCUAAGGAUGAAAGUGGGGGAUCGCAAGACCUCAUGCUCGUGGAGCGGCCGAUAUCUGAUUAGCUAGUUGGUAGGGUAAAAGCCUACCAAGGCAUCGAUCAGUAGCUGGUCUGAGAGGACGACCAGCCACACUGGAACUGAGACACGGUCCAGACUCCUACGGGAGGCAGCAGUGGGGAAUUUUGGACAAUGGGCGCAAGCCUGAUCCAGCAAUGCCGCGUGAGUGAAGAAGGCCUUCGGGUUGUAAAGCUCUUUUGUCAGGGAAGAAACGGUGAGGGCUAAUAUCCUUUGCUAAUGACGGUACCUGAAGAAUA